CUGUACUGCAGUAUAACAGAACUGUGGGGACACGUAAGGAGAGCGGGAGCCGGGAAUGGAAAGCCCGGUACAAGCGAGGUACCAGUAUGGUAGGAAAAACCGCCAUGCAAUGGGAAGACGUGAUGUGGAGUGAAAUAUAGUAACGAAGCCCGUGAGCCAUGCGUCAAGAAAAACCGCUAUUGUUUAUAUUGUACCCGUACCGUAAACCGACACAGGUGGAUGAGGAGAGAAUCCUAAGGCCGGCGGAAGAAGUAUUGCCAAGGAACUCGGCAAAAUGGCCCCGUAACUUAGGGAGAAGGGGUGCCUGCGAGAGCAGGCCGCAGAGAAUAGGCUCAAGCAACUGUUUAGCAAAAACACAGGUCUAUGCGAAACCGAAAGGUGAGGUAUAUGGGCUGACGCCUGCCCGGUGCUGGAAGGUUAAGAGGAGAGGUUAGACGCAAGUCGAAGCUUUGAAUUUAAGCCCCAGUAAACGGCGGCCGUAACAAUAACGGUCCUAAGGUAGCGAAAUUCCUUGUCGGGUAAGUUCCGACCCGCACGAAAGGCGUAAUGAUUUGAGCGCUGUCUCGGCAAUACAUCCGGUGAAAUUGAAGUGCCAGUGAAGAUGCUGGCUACCCGCGCCAGGACGGAAAGACCCCAUGGAGCUUUACUCCAGUUUGGCACUGGGGUCCGGUGUUGCAUGUACAGGAUAGGUGGGAGGCUGAGAGAUAGUGACGUCAGUUGCUAUGGAGCCGCUGUUGGGAUACCACCCUUGUGAUAUUGAGCUUCUAACCAGCCGCCGUGAACCGGCGGUGGGACAAUGCCAGGCGGGGAGUUUGACUGGGGCGGUCGCCUCCGAAAGGGUAUCGGAGGCGCCCAAAGGUUCCCUCAGAAUGGACGGAAACCAUUCGAAGAGUGCAAAGGCAGAAGGGAGCUUGACUGCGACACCGACGGGUGGAGCAGGUACGAAAGUAGGGCUUAGUGAUCCGGUGGUAUUAAGUGGGAAUGCCAUCGCUCAACGGAUAAAAGCUACCCUGGGAUAACAGGCUUAUCACUCCCAAGAGUUCACAUCGACGGAGUGGUUUGGCACCUCGAUGUCGGCUCAUCGCAUCCUGGGGCUGUAGUAGGUCCCAAGGGUUGGGCUGUUCGCCCAUUAAAGCGGUACGCGAGCUGGGUUCAGAACGUCGUGAGACAGUUCGGUCCCUAUCCGGCGUGGGCGUAGGAUAUCUGAGAGGAGCUGUCCUUAGUACGAGAGGACCGGGAUGGACGGACCGCUGGUGGACCGGUUGGCUUGCCAAAGCCAUGGCCGGGUAGCCAAGUCCGGAAGGGAUAAACGCUGAAGGCAUCUAAGCGUGAAGCCCCCCUCAAGAUGAGAUAUCCCAUUCUUUAAGAAGUAAACCCCCUUGAAGACGACGAGGUAGAUAGGGCAGAGGUGGAAGUGUGGUAACACAUGGAGCUGACUGUUACUAAUCGGGUGAGGGCUUGAGC
Molecule: ribosomal RNA, 1464 nt
Filed under: metagenome
Description: bacterial LSU rRNA
Rfam family: Bacterial large subunit ribosomal RNA
Source: RNAcentral